GGAGGCGGUGGAGUGCCAGCAAUUAUAGGGUCAUAUUUGGCUCAUUUAUGUCUUAAUUCUUGCAUAGAAAAAAAUGAAUUUAUCUCCAGCACUCUCUCUUUCCCUCAAUGAUUAUCACAACCACCUCAAAAAUACUCCAUGGGUUCUUGAAGAAACCCUCUUAAUUUCCAUUCAAGUGUGAAGGGUGAUUAAAACUCUUGAAGGAGUACAAGUUAAGAGAACAAUUUUCCAUAAUUUGAGGGACUGACCAUACAGAUUUGCACUUCCGUGGCUAGGGAUCUCAUAUAGAAACUUGAAGAUUGGUGAGUCCUCAUGUUUCGAGAACCGAGUUUGGUUUCCCUUUUGUCUUUACUUUCAGUUUUGGAUCAUGAUGUACGGGCUACGCCCCGAUCAUUUCUUAUGUACUAGAUGGCUUUGAGACAAUGUUUAGAC
This is a long non-coding RNA of Solanum stenotomum, 432 nucleotides long. RefSeq lists it as uncharacterized. The record is from RefSeq and is a predicted model, not a curated record. The transcript has 3 exons. NCBI's taxonomy places the organism in Eukaryota, Viridiplantae, Streptophyta, Magnoliopsida, Solanales, Solanaceae.